GACGAACCGUGCGAACGUUGUUCGGAAUCACUGGGCUUGAAGGGCGCGUAGGCGGGCUGUCAAGUCCGGGGUGAAAUCCUCCCGCUCAACGGGAGAACGGCCUCGGAUACUGACGAUCUCGAGGGGGAUAGGGGCACGCGGAACUGUGGGUGGAGCGGUGAAAUGCGUUGAUAUCCAUAGGAACUCCGGUGGCGAAGGCGGCGUGCUGGAUCCCUUCUGACGCUGAGGCGCGAAAGCCAGGGGAGCAAACGGG
RNAcentral lists this ribosomal RNA (253 nucleotides) under uncultured bacterium. RNAcentral's name for it is "partial 16S ribosomal RNA". It matches the Rfam family "Bacterial small subunit ribosomal RNA", at positions 524 to 776 of the family's 1533-position model. The record is from RNAcentral.